GCGCCCUUGGUGUAGCGGUCACACACAAUCUACUUAUACAAAAGUAAUGUAUCGCUUAGAUUGGGUCCGGGGUUCGAGUCCCCGAGGCGCA
Non-coding RNA from Mycena leptocephala, 91 nucleotides. The record is from the annotation of a GenBank genome assembly. NCBI's taxonomy places the organism in Eukaryota, Fungi, Basidiomycota, Agaricomycetes, Agaricales, Mycenaceae.